AGUGAACGCUGGCGGUAGGCCUAACACAUGCAAGUCGAACGGCAGCACAGUAAGAGCUUGCUCUUACGGGUGGCGAGUGGCGGACGGGUGAGGAAUACAUCGGAAUCUACUUUUUCGUGGGGGAUAACGUAGGGAAACUUACGCUAAUACCGCAUACGACCUACGGGUGAAAGCAGGGGAUCUUCGGACCUUGCGCGAUUGAAUGAGCCGAUGUCGGAUUAGCUAGUUGGCGGGGUAAAGGCCCACCAAGGCGACGAUCCGUAGCUGGUCUGAGAGGAUGAUCAGCCACACUGGAACUGAGACACGGUCCAGACUCCUACGGGAGGCAGCAGUGGGGAAUAUUGGACAAUGGGCGCAAGCCUGAUCCAGCCAUACCGCGUGUGUGAAGAAGGCCUUCGGGUUGUAAAGCCCUUCUGUUGGGAAAGAAAAGCAGCAGGUUAAUACCCCGCUGUUCUGACGGUACCCAAAGAAUAAGCACCGGCUAACUUCGUG
Molecule: ribosomal RNA, 492 nt
Filed under: uncultured bacterium
Lineage: Bacteria
Description: partial 16S ribosomal RNA
Rfam family: Bacterial small subunit ribosomal RNA
Source: RNAcentral